UACAGAGGUCCCAAGCGUUGUUCGGAUUCACUGGGCGUAAAGGGUGCGUAGGUGGCAAGGUAAGUUGGGUGUGAAAGCUCGGAGCUUAACUCCGAAACGGCAUUCAAAACUACCUGGCUAGAGGGUCGGAAGGGAGACUGGAAUUCUCGGUGUAGCGGUGAAAUGCGUAGAUAUCGAGAGGAACACCAGUGGCGAAAGCGAGUCUCUGGACGACUCCUGACACUGAGGCACGAAAGCUAGGGGAGCAAACAGG
This 253-nucleotide ribosomal RNA is filed under the name uncultured bacterium. RNAcentral describes it as "partial 16S ribosomal RNA". It matches the Rfam family "Bacterial small subunit ribosomal RNA", at positions 524 to 776 of the family's 1533-position model. The record is from RNAcentral.